AACAAGCUACUAAGGGUCUACGGUGGAUGCCUGGGCGCUGGGAGCCGAUGAAGGACGCAGCAGGCUGCGAUAAGCCUCGGUGAGCCGCCAAGCAGGCUUUGANCCCGGGGAUGU
This 114-nucleotide ribosomal RNA is filed under the name uncultured Actinomycetes bacterium. RNAcentral's name for it is "uncultured actinobacterium partial 23S ribosomal RNA". It matches the Rfam family "Bacterial large subunit ribosomal RNA", at positions 1 to 113 of the family's 2925-position model. The record is from RNAcentral. Lineage: Bacteria; Bacillati; Actinomycetota; Actinomycetes.